CGGCCUAUCUGAAUUCCCGACCUAUAUGAUAAAUUGGAAUUGAUACAGAAAAGAAAAGCAGGGCCACUGAAGAGGGAUGACACACUAAACCGUGAAGUGUUUCCACAUUUUU
RNAcentral lists this small nuclear RNA (112 nucleotides) under Echeneis naucrates (live sharksucker). The record is from RNAcentral. Lineage: Eukaryota; Metazoa; Chordata; Actinopteri; Carangiformes; Echeneidae.